GGAUGUGAGGGCGAUCUGGCUGCGACAUCUGUCACCCCAUUGAUCGCCAGGGUUGAUUCGGCUGAUCUGGCUGGCUAGGCGGGUGUCCCCUUCCUCCCUCACCGCUCCAUGUGCGUCCCUCCCGAAGCUGCGCGCUCGGUCGAAGAGGACGACCAUCCCCGAUAGAGGAGGACCGUUCUUCGGUCAAGGGUAUACUAGUAGCUGCGCUCCCCUGCUAGAACCUCCAAACAAGCUCUCAAAUACCUGUGAAAAUCAAGUUAAGUUAGGAAGGAUUUAUUUUAGCUCAUUGUUUUAUU
RNAcentral lists this small nuclear RNA (296 nucleotides) under Castor canadensis (American beaver). RNAcentral's name for it is "7SK RNA (ENSCCNG00000001299.1)". It matches the Rfam family "7SK RNA". Rfam says of the family: 7SK was discovered as an abundant small nuclear RNA in the mid-70s but a possible function has only recently been suggested. Two independent studies have found that 7SK RNA binds the CDK9/cyclin T complex (known as elongation factor P-TEFb). The record is from RNAcentral. Lineage: Eukaryota; Metazoa; Chordata; Mammalia; Rodentia; Castoridae.